Molecule: ribosomal RNA, 1440 nt
Filed under: Lacticaseibacillus rhamnosus
Lineage: Bacteria; Bacillati; Bacillota; Bacilli; Lactobacillales; Lactobacillaceae
Description: bacterial SSU rRNA
Source: RNAcentral
GCAAGUCGAACGAGUUCUGAUUAUUGAAAGGUGCUUGCAUCUUGAUUUAAUUUUGAACGAGUGGCGGACGGGUGAGUAACACGUGGGUAACCUGCCCUUAAGUGGGGGAUAACAUUUGGAAACAGAUGCUAAUACCGCAUAAAUCCAAGAACCGCAUGGUUCUUGGCUGAAAGAUGGCGUAAGCUAUCGCUUUUGGAUGGACCCGCGGCGUAUUAGCUAGUUGGUGAGGUAACGGCUCACCAAGGCAAUGAUACGUAGCCGAACUGAGAGGUUGAUCGGCCACAUUGGGACUGAGACACGGCCCAAACUCCUACGGGAGGCAGCAGUAGGGAAUCUUCCACAAUGGACGCAAGUCUGAUGGAGCAACGCCGCGUGAGUGAAGAAGGCUUUCGGGUCGUAAAACUCUGUUGUUGGAGAAGAAUGGUCGGCAGAGUAACUGUUGUCGGCGUGACGGUAUCCAACCAGAAAGCCACGGCUAACUACGUGCCAGCAGCCGCGGUAAUACGUAGGUGGCAAGCGUUAUCCGGAUUUAUUGGGCGUAAAGCGAGCGCAGGCGGUUUUUUAAGUCUGAUGUGAAAGCCCUCGGCUUAACCGAGGAAGUGCAUCGGAAACUGGRAAACUUGAGUGCAGAAGAGGACAGUGGAACUCCAUGUGUAGCGGUGAAAUGCGUAGAUAUAUGGAAGAACACCAGUGGCGAAGGCGGCUGUCUGGUCUGUAACUGACGCUGAGGCUCGAAAGCAUGGGUAGCGAACAGGAUUAGAUACCCUGGUAGUCCAUGCCGUAAACGAUGAAUGCUAGGUGUUGGAGGGUUUCCGCCCUUCAGUGCCGCAGCUAACGCAUUAAGCAUUCCGCCUGGGGAGUACGACCGCAAGGUUGAAACUCAAAGGAAUUGACGGGGGCCCGCACAAGCGGUGGAGCAUGUGGUUUAAUUCGAAGCAACGCGAAGAACCUUACCAGGUCUUGACAUCUUUUGAUCACCUGAGAGAUCAGGUUUCCCCUUCGGGGGCAAAAUGACAGGUGGUGCAUGGUUGUCGUCAGCUCGUGUCGUGAGAUGUUGGGUUAAGUCCCGCAACGAGCGCAACCCUUAUGACUAGUUGCCAGCAUUUAGUUGGGCACUCUAGUAAGACUGCCGGUGACAAACCGGAGGAAGGUGGGGAUGACGUCAAAUCAUCAUGCCCCUUAUGACCUGGGCUACACACGUGCUACAAUGGAUGGUACAACGAGUUGCGAGACCGCGAGGUCAAGCUAAUCUCUUAAAGCCAUUCUCAGUUCGGACUGUAGGCUGCAACUCGCCUACACGAAGUCGGAAUCGCUAGUAAUCGCGGAUCAGCACGCCGCGGUGAAUACGUUCCCGGGCCUUGUACACACCGCCCGUCACACCAUGAGAGUUUGUAACACCCGAAGCCGGUGGCGUAACCCUUUUAGGGAGCGAGCCGUCUA